Molecule: ribosomal RNA, 405 nt
Filed under: uncultured organism
Description: bacterial SSU rRNA
Rfam family: Bacterial small subunit ribosomal RNA
Source: RNAcentral
UGGGGAAUAUUGGACAAUGGGCGCAAGCCUGAUCCAGCAAUGCCGCGUGUGUGAAGAAGGCCUGCGGGUUGUAAAGCACUUUCAGUCGGGAAGAAAAGCGCAGUGCUAAUACCACGGCGUCUUGACGUUACCGACACAAGAAGCACCGGCUAACUCCGUGCCAGCAGCCGCGGUAAUACGGAGGGUGCAAGCGUUAAUCGGAAUCACUGGGCGUAAAGCGCACGUAGGCGGCCAAGUCAGUCAGCUGUGAAAGCCCUGGGCUUAACCUGGGAACUGCAGUUGAAACUGCUCGGCUCGAGUCCGAAAGAGGGGGGUGGAAUUCCAGGUGUAGCGGUGAAAUGCGUAGAGAUCUGGAGGAACACCAGUGGCGAACGCGGCCCCCUGGUUCGAGACUGACGCUGAGGU